GAUGAACGCUAGCUACAGGCUUAACACAUGCAAGUCGAGGGGAAACGACAUCGAAAGCUUGCUUUUGGUGGGCGUCGACCGGCGCACGGGUGAGUAACGCGUAUCCAACCUGCCCAUCACUUGGGAAUAACCUUGCGAAAGUAAGACUAAUGCCCAAUGACAUUUAUAGAAGGCAUCUGAAAUGAAUUAAAGAUUUAUCGGUGAUGGAUGGGGAUGCGUCUGAUUAGCUUGUUGGCGGGGUAACGGGCCCACCAAGGCGACGAUCAGUAGGGGUUCUGAGAGGAAGGUCCCCCACAUUGGAACUGAGACACGGUCCAAACUCCUACGGGAGGCAGCAGUGAGGAAUAUUGGUCAAUGGGCGAGAGCCUGAACCAGCCAAGUAGCGUGCAGGAAGACGGCCCUAUGGGUUGUAAACUGCUUUUAUAGGGGAUAAAGUGAGCCACGUGUGGUUUUUUGUCAUGUACCCUAUGAAUAAGGACCGGCUAAUUCCGUG
RNAcentral lists this ribosomal RNA (493 nucleotides) under uncultured bacterium. RNAcentral's name for it is "bacterial SSU rRNA". It matches the Rfam family "Bacterial small subunit ribosomal RNA", at positions 28 to 507 of the family's 1533-position model. The record is from RNAcentral.